This 325-nucleotide ribosomal RNA is filed under the name uncultured eukaryote. RNAcentral's name for it is "partial 18S ribosomal RNA". It matches the Rfam family "Eukaryotic small subunit ribosomal RNA", at positions 1470 to 1796 of the family's 1831-position model. The record is from RNAcentral.
CCCUUAGAUGCCCUGGGCCGCACGCGCGCUACACUGAUGCAUUCAACGAGUUUUACCUUGGCCGAGAGGCCUGGGCAAUCUUUUAAACCUGCAUCGUGAUAGGGAUAGAUUAUUGCAAUUAUUAAUCUUGAACGAGGAAUUCCUAGUAAACGCAGAUCAUCAAUCUGCAUUGAUUACGUCCCUGCCCUUUGUACACACCGCCCGUCGCACCUACCGAUUGAAUGGUCCGGUGAAGCCUCGGGAUUGUGGCCAGUUCACUUUAUUGGGAGUUGGCUGCGAGAACUUGUCUAAACCUUAUCAUUUAGAGGAAGGUGAAGUCGUAACA